GGAAAGGUGCUCGAGUGGUUGAAGAGGCACGCCUGGAAAGCGUGUAACCGUCAAAAGCGGUUCGCAGGUUCGAAUCCUGUUCUUUCCG
Molecule: transfer RNA, 88 nt
Filed under: Prevotella sp.
Lineage: Bacteria; Pseudomonadati; Bacteroidota; Bacteroidia; Bacteroidales; Prevotellaceae
Also listed under: 1 other name
Description: tRNA-Ser
Rfam family: tRNA
About the family: Transfer RNA (tRNA) molecules are approximately 80 nucleotides in length. Their secondary structure includes four short double-helical elements and three loops (D, anti-codon, and T loops).
Source: RNAcentral